CAUCUAUCUUUCUUUUUUUGAGAGAGAGAGAGAGAGAGAGAGAGUGAGUCUCAGUCUGUCACCUAGGCUGGAGUGCAGUGGUACAGAUAUGGCUAACUGCAGCCUCUAUCUCCCAAUCUCCCAGGCUCAAGCAAUUCUUGUCUUCCUGCCUCAGCCUUCUGAGUAGCUGGGACUACAGGCAAGUGUCACUAAACUCAGCUAAUUUUUUGAUGUGUAAAGAAAUGGAGUCUCACUAUGUUGCCCAGGCUGGUCUCAAAUUCCUGUCCUUGAGCUACCAUCCCAUCUGGGUAUUUGCAGCUUUCCUCCUUUCUUCCAACUAUACGUGCAGAGGCUGUAUCUCUGGAUCCAGAUGCAGCUCAUCCCGACCUCAUCCUGAGGGUAGAAGAUACAUUUCUUCAAUAAAGAAUGCUCUCCAGAACUGUAAAGCCCCCACACACUAAGGACAAGGGGAAUCUGAAACCAUCUUCAGUUUUCUGGGUUUACUACAGGGGAGACAGACGUUACUGGGAGGUAGAAGUAAACAACGGGGACAGAAGUUGGACCAGGAACAAGAUGAACUCUGGGUGUUCAUUCAGCACAACGAAGAGAGGGGGGUGGUUUGUAGAAAGUCC
RNAcentral lists this long non-coding RNA (611 nucleotides) under Callithrix jacchus (white-tufted-ear marmoset). Its description in RNAcentral is "lncRNA (ENSCJAG00000078502.1)". Lineage: Eukaryota; Metazoa; Chordata; Mammalia; Primates; Cebidae. The record is from RNAcentral.